AUACGAAAGGUGCAAGCGUUGUUCGGAUUUACUGGGCGUAAAGAGAUCGUAGGUGGUUUGUUAAGUUGGAUGUGAAAUCCCGGGGCUCAACCUCGGAACUGCAUCCAAAACUGGCAGACUUGAGUUCGGGAGGGGUAAGCGGAAUUCCGUGUGUAGCAGUGAAAUGCGUAGAUAUACGGAGGAACACCUGAGGCGAAGGCGGCUUACUGGACCGAUACUGACACUGAGGAUCGAAAGCGUGGGUAGCAAACAGGAUUAGAUACCCUAGUAGUCC
Molecule: ribosomal RNA, 274 nt
Filed under: uncultured bacterium
Lineage: Bacteria
Description: partial 16S ribosomal RNA
Rfam family: Bacterial small subunit ribosomal RNA
Source: RNAcentral